Molecule: ribosomal RNA, 254 nt
Filed under: uncultured bacterium
Lineage: Bacteria
Description: partial 16S ribosomal RNA
Rfam family: Bacterial small subunit ribosomal RNA
Source: RNAcentral
UACGUAGGGGGCAAGCGUUGUCCGGAUUUAUUGGGCGUAAAAGGCUUGUAGGUGGCCACGCCAAGUCGGAUGUGAAAUCUCCCGGCUCAACUGGGAGGGGUCAUUCGAUACUGGCGGGCUCGAGGCCGGUAGGGGGAAGUGGAAUUCCCGGUGUAGAGGUGGAAUGCGUAGAUAUCGGGAGGAACACCAGUGGCGAAGGCGGCUUCCUGGACCGGUUCUGACACUGAGGAGCGAAAGCGUGGGGAGCGAUCCGG